RNAcentral lists this ribosomal RNA (900 nucleotides) under Triticum aestivum (bread wheat). Its description in RNAcentral is "partial small subunit ribosomal RNA". The record is from RNAcentral. Lineage: Eukaryota; Viridiplantae; Streptophyta; Magnoliopsida; Poales; Poaceae.
AUGGUUUCUCUCCCGCUCACCAAAUUGGCAGAGGUUUAUAAGGGAGUGGUCGGGAAACGUAUGGUCGCCGUGAAGAGGCUGUCAAAGACGUUUGCUCUUCACGAGAACAAAUUCCAGGAAGAGGUCAAAUGCCUAAUAAAGGCCAGGCACAAGAACAUUGUACGGUUUCUGGGAUAUUGCACUGACACGCAGGGUAAAAUGGAAGAGUUUGAGGGGAAUCUUGUCAUGGCAGAUCAACGCAACUGGUUGCUCUGUUUUGAGUAUGUAUGCAACGGGACUCUCGACAAGCACAUUACUGCUGCAACUUGUGGACUUAAUUGGAGGGAGCGCUAUCAAAUAAUCAGGGGGAUAUGUGAGGGGUUACUUUUUCUGCACAAGAAGAGAAUUCUUCACUCGGACCUGAUGCCUGCUAAUAUAUUGCUAGAUGGUCACUGGUACCCAAAAUUGCUGAUUUUGGUCCAUCGAGGUGCCUCGGUGAAGAGCAAACCCGUUAUAUUACUCAAAACCUAUGGGGAACACUGGGAUACGUGGAUCCAGAAUAUAUCAGAUCAAAGACAAAUCUCAUUCUCGUCAGACAUAUAUAGUCUUGGCGUAAUAAUAAUGGAGAUAGUGGCAGGAGUUAGUUGCUAUCGCGAAGAUGAGGAUGUAGUUCAAAGUUGGAUGAUUCGAGAGGCAUUAGAGGGCAACAUACAGUUGGAACAAGUAAGUGUAUGCUGCAAGAUAGCGGUAGAGUGCAUGGACUUGGACCCAAAGAAGAGACCAGUUACACAACACAUAGUUCACAGGCUUGAUAAAAUGGCAAGUGCAGACUGUUCACACAAAACUAGCAUUGGCAGUUCAUUGUUUGAGCCACGGGUAAGUUGUCCAAGGGAGGAACAACCUGGAGAAAUAAUUGGAUAA